GUUUGAUCCUGGCUCAGAUUGAACGCUGGCGGCAUGCCUUACACAUGCAAGUCGAACGGCAGCAUGGGUGCUUGCACCUGAUGGCGAGUGGCGAACGGGUGAGUAAUGCAUCGGAACGUACCCGGAAGUGGGGGAUAACGUAGCGAAAGUUACGCUAAUACCGCAUAUUCUGUGAGCAGGAAAGCGGGGGAUCGCAAGACCUCGCGCUUCCGGAGCGGCCGAUGUCGGAUUAGCUAGUUGGCGGGGUAAAGGCCCACCAAGGCAACGAUCCGUAGCGGGUCUGAGAGGAUGAUCCGCCACACUGGGACUGAGACACGGCCCAGACUCCUACGGGAGGCAGCAGUGGGGAAUUUUGGACAAUGGGCGCAAGCCUGAUCCAGCCAUGCCGCGUGAGUGAAGAAGGCCUGGU
Molecule: ribosomal RNA, 409 nt
Filed under: uncultured bacterium
Lineage: Bacteria
Description: bacterial SSU rRNA
Rfam family: Bacterial small subunit ribosomal RNA
Source: RNAcentral